This is a long non-coding RNA of Canis lupus familiaris (dog), 655 nucleotides long. RefSeq lists it as uncharacterized. The record is from RefSeq and is a predicted model, not a curated record. NCBI's taxonomy places the organism in Eukaryota, Metazoa, Chordata, Mammalia, Carnivora, Canidae. The transcript has 4 exons.
AGAGAAAAACUCUUUGUGAGAGAUGUUUUGGCAUGCCAUACAAAAUGGAACCCAACUGUAGCACAAAAUGUAACACAGGAUGCACUUUUCACUCUAACAGUGAACCACAGGAACAUAAUGUGAAAUGUCCCUCUCAAGGGAAACCCACUUGAGUAUCAUGUCUGAGCAUUGACAGAAAGCUGAUCAUGUAGCCAUUUUACCUGCACGGACAACCACAGGGAAUGAAACUCAGGACUCCAGCAGUGACAUCAGAACACUUAAGCUGCUCCAUCAUCACUAGUGCCAUUAUCCAGCUGAUAACAACAGACUGAUACAACACCAUUUCCUAAUAAAGAUCAGACUGUAAUGGAAGAGUACAACCAGGCCCUCGAAACAUGAGAGCAGGAGAUAAACCUUUUCCACCAUGACAUGAUGCUCCUCCACGUGUGGCAAAGCAUCACUGCUUCUGUCUUGGGGCACAAAGAGUAACCAGACUUUAUGCAGGGAAUGGACAUUAGGCUGGGGGAGGAGGGGGCUUAUUCCUAGUUCCAAAAGAAAGGUUUACAAAUACAGAACAAACAAAAACCUAAAAAAAUAAUCAUUUCUUGAAUGUGUAGAGCUAAUUUUUCUAAUUAAGCCAGAAUUUUCUCUCCAAGGAACUGAUAAUUGGAAACUU